CCAAUUUUCGAUUAUCUCCUUCGAUUUCCCUUCUGCGAGUGCCCUUCCUUCGACUUUCUCCUUUGAUUUCCCUUCUACGACUGUUGCGAUUUCGUCUGGCGGUUUCAACUAAACCCUCUCUUUCUCGAUUUUCUCCUUCGAAUUCGAUUCGUAAACCCUUCUGCGACUGCUGCGAUUUUGAUUCCUAAACCCCGAUUCCUUAACCCUGCUGCGACUGCUACGAUUUCAACUAAACCCUCCAUUUUACUAUGAAAAUCAAAAUAUGCUGCGAUUUCUAAACGAUUGCGAGCCUCUCUCCUUUUUUGAGCGAUUCCUCUGUUAAAUCGUCUAACCCUCAUGCUUGUUAUCUCUUUUUAAAGUUGGAUAUGGUUGUAGGAGAAGAGACAGAGACGAGCGACAUAGACAUAGGUCUGAGUCUCACCCUAUGGGCAGAUCUGAACAUAGAUCAAAGUCAAGAUCUCGUUCUCGUUCACGCUCAAAAAGGUUGGUUUUCCUUUUAUUUGGAAAUAGAUCUAGUUUGUGAUUUUAUGUGUAUAUUUGAGAAACUAUUAACUUUAUUAUUUAAUAGAUAGUACUGUAUGCAUGAUAAAUGUUAAGUUAGUUGUUAUGAUGAAGUUUACCUUUUGAUACUCUUGUCUUUAAACUGUAAGUUUUCUGCCUACUAUAUUCCCUAGUCACUGAUGCUAAAAUUUCAAGUUAAUCUGAUACUAUUGCUGCAAUUCUGACAACAAUUUGAAGCUCUGAACACGCGUGGGUUGCUAUUAUAGACUCUUUAUUAAGCUUGAUAUUAUGAAUUAUGCGAGUGAACUUGCAAGAGCCGGUUGGGUGUUAUAUGUAUAUGGGUUCUGGUGGUAAAGGAGUUUCAAGACAGUGACAGAUAACUGAAUUUUUUGAGACCAGUCUAGUUUUCCAUAUAAAUUUCUAAUCCCUGUAUUGUGAUUACAUGAGUUAAAUGUUUGGAAAAGGUAAUGCUAUGCCAUUCAUAGUGAACAAGUAAUAUGCUUCUAUCUUCAUUAUAAAAGCUUAAUAAAUAUGCUAUAGCUGAUAGUAUGUGCACUUGUGCAGGACAGUUUACUGUUGAAUGAUCGUUCAAAAAGUAUUGUGAUCUCACUCGUUGAUAAGAUCAAAUAAAAUCCUCUAUUCAUGUUGUAAUCCACUUUCAUCAUAAUUACAUGAGUUUCCUUCAAACAUAUAUUAUUCUCUCACUCGAUACUAAUAUCAAAUAAAGUUCUGUAUUCAUGUUGUAAUUGACUCUUACUAUAAUUACAUUAGUUUUGCAUUGUUUGUUGAAAUUUUCGACAUGAUUUGAUUUAGGUUAUCACUUGCUGUUUAUAUUACUGGUGUAUUUCUGCAGCAAAAGAAUUAGUGGGUUUGAUAUGGCCCCCCAGCUUCUACAAUAUUAGUUAGUGCUGCUGUUGAUGCUACUAUCGUUGCUGCAGGUACAUGUCUUGUCAUAUGUAAUUACAACUGAAUAUUUGAUAACUGCUAUUUUCUCUUUUGAAAUAGUGUGGAAAGUCCAUCCAAUGCAUGGUGUUAUUUUGGUAAGCGUACUUGGUUCUUUUAUUUGCAUCUGUUGCGAUAGUGUAAUCAUCAUUAGAUUGUCUGUAUUUUUUUGCAAUUCUUUGCUUGGUGAAAUAAUUCUGAAACUGAGAGUUUUUUGUUUUGUCUUGUGUUUCGUGUUUGUUUGUUUCUGUCUUGUUUUAUGUUUAAGAAGGCAAUGUUGGGCUUUGUUUUUUUUUAAAAAAAGAGAGGCAAUUCUAUUGUGAGAAUGUUUUAAAUUGGUUACCAAGAAUAAUGGGGAAUUCUAGCUUCGGCUUGGGGAAUGGGUAAAAGUAGAUCCCAACUUUGGUUUAAUGAUCAAUGCUCCAUAGACGGUGGCUCUAAUCCAUCUACUAUGAGCAUUCCACCACAAUGUACCCUCCUGAUCUUGUAUUGUGAAUAGGUAUGUGUAAGUCACUCCUGGUUGGAUAGGACACUGAGUAACAUAUUCAGGUCUAUCUGCCCAUGCGGUUCGCAACUAACAAAUCCCAUGCCUGAAGGAUAAUAAGUAAUUGAUUUUUAUUUUUUGCAAAAUAUGUUCUCUAAAAAUAUGAUAAUAAAUCUGAUACUAUGAAUUGGCCUUAAAAAACUAAUUGAAUUUUUUUUUUGCAGUGCAACCUGGCUUAUGUUACCAAUGUAUUGGCAGUAAACCUACAGGUUCUUCCCACUUAUCAACUUUAAGGAUUGGAUUUUGACAGCAUUAUGUAACUGAUGUCAUUGCGCAAGUUUUGGAAUUCAAGUGCUAAUUGCUUGUUUAGUCAGUUACAUUGUUUGUAGAUUAUAUAAUUGUUUCAGAUAUAGGUGAGCUUAUAGAUUUUGUAAGGGUUGAAAAAUUGGUGCAACUCACUAACAGUGUAGAUUUCAAUAUUAGAUUUGGCUUGUCUAAUUAUGCUUGCCAUGGAUCAUUGUAACACUUCUACAAAUUCUUUUUGUAAUAUUACAUAUUAAUAUAUUCGAUUUAUUUUUUUUCUUUUUGUAAUAUUAUUUUUUCCGUAC
RNAcentral lists this long non-coding RNA (2535 nucleotides) under Panax ginseng (ginseng). RNAcentral describes it as "long non-coding RNA (PGIN_LNC013336)". The record is from RNAcentral. Lineage: Eukaryota; Viridiplantae; Streptophyta; Magnoliopsida; Apiales; Araliaceae.